UACAGAGGUCCCAAGCGUUGUUCGGAUUCAUUGGGCGUAAAGGGUGCGUAGGCGGCGCGGUAAGUCGGGUGUGAAAUCUCGGAGCUUAACUCCGAAACUGCAUUCGAUACUGCCGUGCUUGAGGACUGGAGAGGAGACUGGAAUUUACGGUGUAGCGGUGAAAUGCGUAGAUAUCGUUUGGAACGCCAGUGGUGAAAACGGGUCGCUGGGGACAUGCUGACGCUGAGACACGAAAGCCAGGGGAGCAAACGGG
RNAcentral lists this ribosomal RNA (253 nucleotides) under uncultured bacterium. RNAcentral describes it as "partial 16S ribosomal RNA". It matches the Rfam family "Bacterial small subunit ribosomal RNA", at positions 524 to 776 of the family's 1533-position model. The record is from RNAcentral.